Molecule: long non-coding RNA, 645 nt
Filed under: Vitis vinifera (wine grape)
Lineage: Eukaryota; Viridiplantae; Streptophyta; Magnoliopsida; Vitales; Vitaceae
Description: long non-coding RNA (VVIN_LNC001349)
Source: RNAcentral
GCAGGGAAGCGGCAUUGAUCGCUCUCCUAAAAGGUGCGCAGGAUGGGGAGGUCGAUGACAGCGAGGGUUUGUUGUUGAAAUUGAAGUCGUUUUGCUUGAAAAUGGACUCCAAGGAGUUUUGGAGGUUCAUAACCGCGAGGAAGAAGGAAUUGGAUGCGCUUAGGGCCCAGACACCGGAGGCUUUAGCCGAAUGUGUGGAUCCGGCGAAGUUCGUGUUGGAGGCAAUAUCGGAGGUCUUUCCAGUGGAUAAGAGAGUCGAAAAGAGCGAGAGGUCGAAUGAUUUGGGGUGGGCUUGUGUUUUGGUGCUGGAGUCUCUGAUACCGGUAGUUGUGGAUCCGGUGCUGGGGAAGUCGCGGCUUUUGGUGACUCCAAGCGUGAAAGAACGAGCGAAGGAUAUCGCUGAGACAUGGAAGGCGAGUUUGGACCAGCGCGGAGGGAUUGAGAACGUUAAAACGCCGGACGUGCAUACAUUUCUGCAGCAUUUGGUGACCUUUGGGAUUGUGAAGGAGGAAGAUGUUGAUUUGUACCGGAAGCUUGUUGUUGGGUCUGCGUGGCGGAAGCAGAUGCCUAAGCUUGCUGUUUCGCUUGGGCUUGGUGAUAAAAUGGCCGGUAUUUUUCCAUCCUGUUUGUCCUGUUUAGUUAUAU